Molecule: long non-coding RNA, 937 nt
Organism: Diachasmimorpha longicaudata
Lineage: Eukaryota; Metazoa; Arthropoda; Insecta; Hymenoptera; Braconidae
Exons: 3
Source: RefSeq, a predicted model, not a curated record
CCAUUUGGAUUGAAUCAGUGAUUGUGUUAUUAUCGGUCUAGUUUCACACAUUUUCCCUCGUGAGAGGAGAGUUUUCAAGCCAUCGGGGGGAACAAAAUGUUUAUCACGAAUGUGUAUCGGCGAGUAAUAAACUAUGCAUUUGAAAUUAAGUCCAUACCUGGUUGUAUAAGAGGUUGACUUCUGCAGUGAACAACUGCAGUGAGUUGUUCAGGCACCAGAGUGUGAUGACUUCUUCCAACAAAUCCGAAUAAUUUUCUCAUAAUUCGCCUUCUGCAGGGAAGUUCCAGACGAAUGUAGCGAUGGCGGUCCGGCGGUGAAUGGAUUACUGCAGCACCGCUGGACCGCCAGUCUGGAAAUCCCUCCAGAGGUAAGAAUUCCUCGCAAUACAUUUGCAAUACCACAUAAUAGACUCUAACAAUUAAACUAUUGACACCGGUCUGAAAUCCCCAGAUGCUAAUAAUUCCAAGUAUAAUCUUCCCAGUGGUGCUAUACGUACUGACCUCGAGUCUCAUCUACCUCGAUGAGAAUCACCUGUACAGUUUCAUCACUAUAAAAUUAUCGUGAAAUCCGGAUAAUUUGGUGCUGAUGUUCUGCUCGAGAAUUGCGAACCCGGGUCAUGAAUUUUACUUAACGCAACAAUGCCCAUAAACGUCGACAUUCGAUGGAAUUUAGAUUAAUUCUCAAUGUUUAUGAACAAAUGUAACUAUUAUUUAUUCUGUGCAUAAAGGUUUUGAGGUUUUACAAUUUCGAGAAAUUAUAGGACUGCGGGGUUACGGCGACUUGCACUCAGAUAUUCAAAUUUAAGUGAAAUUUUAUGGUAAUGAAGCUGUUGUAUUGGUUUCUAUCUAAAGUUCAUUGCUGUAACAACUCAAACGAUGUGCAGAUUAUUUAUUUAAAGUGUAUUCCUAGAAUAUAUUUUUCUCGUAAUACUGUUUUU